Molecule: ribosomal RNA, 430 nt
Filed under: uncultured marine bacterium
Lineage: Bacteria
Description: bacterial SSU rRNA
Rfam family: Bacterial small subunit ribosomal RNA
Source: RNAcentral
AAUUUUCUGCAAUGGGCGCAAGCCUGACAGAGCAAUACCGCGUCAGGGAAGAAAGCCCACAGGGUUGUGAACCUCUUUUAUCAAGGAAGAAGUUCUGACGUUACCUGAUGAAUAAGCAUAGGCUAAGUCCGUACCAGCAGCCGCGGUAAGACGGGGGAUGCAAGGGUUAUCCGGAAUCACUGGGCGUGAAGGGAUUGUCGGUGGUUUAGUAAGUGUAUUGUUAAAGCUUGAAGCUUAACUUCAAAAAUCUGAUGGAAACUUCUAGACUUGAGGAUAGUAGGGGUAAAGGGAAUUUCCAGGGGAGCGGGGAAAUGCGUAGAGAUUGGAAGGACCGCCGAUGGCUAAGGCACUGUAGUGAACUAUCUCUGACAGUACGAGACAAAAGAUAGGGUAGGGAAUGGGAUUAGAUACCCCAGUAGUCCUACCUGUA